RNAcentral lists this ribosomal RNA (425 nucleotides) under uncultured bacterium. Its description in RNAcentral is "partial 16S ribosomal RNA". It matches the Rfam family "Bacterial small subunit ribosomal RNA", at positions 354 to 796 of the family's 1533-position model. The record is from RNAcentral.
GUGGGGAAUCUUGCGCAAUGGGCGAAAGCCUGACGCAGCCAUGCCGCGUGAAUGAUGAAGGUCUUAGGAUUGUAAAAUUCUUUCACCGGGGACGAUAAUGACGGUACCCGGAGAAGAAGCCCCGGCUAACUUCGUGCCAGCAGCCGCGGUAAUACGAAGGGGGCUAGCGUUGCUCGGAAUUACUGGGCGUAAAGGGCGCGUAGGCGGACAGUUUAGUCAGAGGUGAAAGCCCAGGGCUCAACCUUGGAAUUGCCUUUGAUACUGGCUGUCUUGAGUACGGGAGAGGUGAGUGGAACUCCGAGUGUAGAGGUGAAAUUCGUAGAUAUUCGGAAGAACACCAGUGGCGAAGGCGACACACUGGCCCGUUACUGACGCUGAGGCUCGAAAGCGUGGGGAGCAAACAGGAUUAGAAACCCUUGUAGUCC